GAUGAAGAACGUAGCGAAAUGCGAUACUUGGUGUGAAUUGCAGAAUCCCGUGAACCAUCGAGUCUUUGAACGCAAGUUGCGCCCGAAGCCGUCAGGCCGAGGGCACGCCUGCCUGGGCGUCACACGCCGUUGCCCCCCCGCGCCCCGCACCCAACGCUUUGGGAGCGACCGCGGGGCGGGCUGAUGAUGGCCUCCCGUGCGCUCCGCCGCGCGGUUGGCCCAAAUACCGAGUCCCCGGCGACGUGCGCCACGACGAUCGGUGGUUGAGAGACCUCUGUCGCAAGUCGUGCGCGCCCGUCGCGUCACGCGGGCUCGCAUAGCGCCUCGCGCCGCACCCGGUGCGGAGCUUUCAACGCGACCCCAGGUCAGGCGGGGUUACCCGCUGAAUUUAAGCAUAUCAAUAAGCGGAGGA
RNAcentral lists this unclassified non-coding RNA (412 nucleotides) under soil metagenome. RNAcentral describes it as "partial contains 5.8S ribosomal RNA, internal transcribed spacer 2, and large subunit ribosomal RNA". The stretch from base 1 to 122 matches the Rfam family "5.8S ribosomal RNA", at positions 35 to 154 of the family's 154-position model. The record is from RNAcentral.